RNAcentral lists this transfer RNA (71 nucleotides) under Gemmatimonadota bacterium. RNAcentral's name for it is "Gemmatimonadetes bacterium (freshwater metagenome) tRNA-Gln". It matches the Rfam family "tRNA". From Rfam's summary of the family: Transfer RNA (tRNA) molecules are approximately 80 nucleotides in length. Their secondary structure includes four short double-helical elements and three loops (D, anti-codon, and T loops). The record is from RNAcentral. Lineage: Bacteria; Pseudomonadati; Gemmatimonadota.
GGCCCUCUGGUGUAAUGGCAGCACAACAGCCUUUGGAGCUGUUGGUCCAGGUUCGAAUCCUGGGAGGGCUA